AGUUGACCUGAUUUUCUUGUUGGAAACUCGAACCAUUUUGGGCUCUAGGGGUAUCCUUAGUUCUUCCUUCCUCUUCCUCAUCGAUGGUAGUGACUAACUACUCUACUUGUAUUUUCAUUCGGUCUAAUGCUUGGGUGUUUGAAUUUAAAAGUUGGCCCAUAGUCUGCAUAAAGUCGAUAUGUGACUUAAUCAAGACUUCUAAGCUUUUUCUAGUGAAUUGAGCCAUUGAUCAUCUUCAAACUCCCUUAUUAAUACAUAUGCAUCCUCAUUUAUGGUGAAUUGAGGA
This 286-nucleotide long non-coding RNA is filed under the name Elaeis guineensis (African oil palm). RNAcentral describes it as "long non-coding RNA (EGUI_LNC009680)". Lineage: Eukaryota; Viridiplantae; Streptophyta; Magnoliopsida; Arecales; Arecaceae. The record is from RNAcentral.